UCCAGACUCCUACGGGAGGCAGCGGUGGGGGAUAUUGCACAAUGGGGGGAACCCUGAUGCAGCGACGCCGCGUGGGUGAAGGAGCGUUUCGGCGCGUAAAGCCCUAUCGGCAGGGAAGAAGGAGGACGGUACCUGACUAAGAAGCCCCGGCUAACUACGUGCCAGCAGCCGCGGUAAUACGUAGGGGGCAAGCGUUAUCCGGAUUUACUGGGUGUAAAGGGGGCGCAGACGGCAGCGCAAGCCAGGAGUGAAAGCCCGGGGCCCAACCCCGGGACUGCUCUUGGAACUGCGCGGCUGGAGUGCAGGAGGGGCAGGCGGAAUUCCUGGUGUAGCGGUGAAAUGCGUAGAUAUCAGGAGGAACACCGGUGGCGAAGGCGGCCUGCUGGACCGCGACUGACGUUGAGGCUCGAAAGCGUGGGGAGCGAACAGGAUUAGAUACCCCUGUAUAU
RNAcentral lists this ribosomal RNA (449 nucleotides) under uncultured bacterium. Its description in RNAcentral is "partial 16S ribosomal RNA". It matches the Rfam family "Bacterial small subunit ribosomal RNA", at positions 330 to 794 of the family's 1533-position model. The record is from RNAcentral.